RNAcentral lists this ribosomal RNA (253 nucleotides) under uncultured bacterium. Its description in RNAcentral is "partial 16S ribosomal RNA". It matches the Rfam family "Bacterial small subunit ribosomal RNA", at positions 524 to 776 of the family's 1533-position model. The record is from RNAcentral.
UACGUAGGGCGCAAGCGUUGUCCGGAAUUAUUGGGCGUAAAGAGCUCGUAGGCGGCUUGUCGCGUCUGCUGUGAAAUCCCGAGGCUCAACCUCGGGCUUGCAGUGGGUACGGGCAGACUAGAGUGCGGUAGGGGAGACUGGAAUUCCUGGUGUAGCGGUGGAAUGCGCAGAUAUCAGGAGGAACACCGAUGGCGAAGGCAGGUCUCUGGGCCGCAACUGACGCUGAGGAGCGAAAGCAUGGGGAGCGAACAGG